This 435-nucleotide ribosomal RNA is filed under the name uncultured bacterium. Its description in RNAcentral is "partial 16S ribosomal RNA". It matches the Rfam family "Bacterial small subunit ribosomal RNA", at positions 29 to 507 of the family's 1533-position model. The record is from RNAcentral.
AACGAACGCUGGCGGCAGGCUUAACACAUGCAAGUCGAACGCGUGCAGCAAUGCACGAGUGGCGCACGGGUGAGUAACGCGUGGAUAUCUGCCUUUUGGUUCGGAAUAACCCCGGGAAACUGGGGCUAAUACCGGAUGGUUCCUACGGGAUAAAGAUUUAUCGCCAAAAGAUGAGUCCGCGUCCGAUUAGCUAGUUGGUGAGGUAAUGGCUCACCAAGGCGACGAUCGGUAGCUGGUCUGAGAGGACGAUCAGCCACACUGGGACUGAGACACGGCCCAGACUCCUACGGGAGGCAGCAGUGGGGAAUAUUGGACAAUGGGGGCAACCCUGAUCCAGCCAUGCCGCGUGAGUGAUGAAGGCCUUCGGGUUGUAAAGCUCUUUUGGCGGGGACGAUGAUGACGGUACCCGCAGAAUAAGCCCCGGCUAACUUCGUG